Molecule: long non-coding RNA, 597 nt
Organism: Wyeomyia smithii (pitcher-plant mosquito)
Lineage: Eukaryota; Metazoa; Arthropoda; Insecta; Diptera; Culicidae
Exons: 2
Source: RefSeq, a predicted model, not a curated record
AUAUCUCUCCCUCUGAGUAUUGUUAGCCUCACCCAAUUGAACAUUUUUUGACUUAAAAUUAAAUUCAAUGACAUUUCCAUCAUUUGGCAAUAUUUUACUACUGUUCAUAGGGCCUAUCACAGGAGACGAGGUGAGCAACUCGCCUCGCCUGCAGUUACUGACGAGGUGAGCAAAAUGUUGUAAAUGUGGUAACGCGAGUGAAACUUGACUAGUGACAGCUGAGUCACAAACGAAUCGAGCAAUUUCGCAGACGAGCUACUCGUCCGAUAUUCAGCUGACUCGCCAUCUGUAAUACCAAAAUAUGUCAGGCGAGUUACUCGCCGCUCGCUUUUAUAUUUCAUCUGACUGCAAAUGCCUGGACAAAAUCACCUCGUAUUGCUACGAAAAGAGAAACGACUAGUUCUUGGGUAUUUAUUUAGAAGAAAGUUUAUCUCUCAAUCCAACAACUAGCUUAUUCACAAAAUGAACAGUUGCAGUUAUAGCAGUAAAGAAUGUAAAAGUAGAAAAUUGCUUUCAAGGCUUUAGUUUUUCGAAAACGAAACGAACUUACGAAAAUAAAAAUAUUUUCAGGAACUCUAAUAAAAGUAUGAAAAAAUU